This is a long non-coding RNA of Diorhabda sublineata, 2944 nucleotides long. RefSeq lists it as uncharacterized. The record is from RefSeq and is a predicted model, not a curated record. Lineage: Eukaryota; Metazoa; Arthropoda; Insecta; Coleoptera; Chrysomelidae. The transcript has 2 exons.
GUAUUAAGACAGUUUUGACACAAGUGAUGUUGAAAUUAAGAUGAAAAUUUACUAGAGUUGAAUGAUUUUAACUACGUUUUGAUUUAUCAUCCUCAAUUAAAAAUUUGAGUCCAUGAAAUCUAAUCUCUUAGGCGUCAAUUCUGAACAUUGAUAAUUUUUUUUACACAUUUUUUAAGCGUAUACAUUUAUGCUGCCCUUACCACAUGUUUAAUAUAUGGCUGGUAUAUACAGGACCGAGAGCAUGAGAGUUAGCCCCCAGAUCAACCACCUCCGUGACUAGAAUAACUUGACAAUUCAAUUUUUGACAUUUGUUGUAUAUGUUUCGCUAUGUAUAAGAGAAAUAGUAAAUUCAACAAAAAUUUCACGAUUAGAUGUUCAUUUAGUGCGCUUUAUCGUUUUCGGCUGUUAUAUUUAUAUAACCGCACUAGUUAAAGGCUUCGUAAUUUCAAGAAACUCCAUAUUCGACCUAUUAUUUUGAACAUAGCAACAAUUCAACUUAUUAAAUUUUCUAUAACAAUAAAGCAGCAGUUUUCAGUAUGAAAAAUAAUUUUUUCAGCUAUACCUCGACAGGAAGAAUAACUAAGUGCUUCAACGUCUUAAAAAGGCAAAAGUACAGGGUAUGAUUAAGUAAUAGCAUUAAUUAAUUGAUUUAUAUUUAGUCGAACUCAUUAGGAAGUCAGAAAAAUAUUUUGGGUGACUGAACUGUGCAAAAUGAAUGCGAUUUAAUACCGGAACAAAAACACUCUUUAUUCAACUUUUUAAACAUUUUAUAAAAUCUGAUAAGUGUUUUGAGAAUCGUUUUAUAAUUGUGGAUGAGUCCACCACCAUGAUCAAAAUAAAACAAGAGGUUAGAAGUAGUGUGAAUCUUGUAUUCGGCUGUGAAGAGAUUUAGGGUUCAGAAAUUGGGCAAGAAGAUAUUAGCAUCUGUUUUUGUGAUGCAAAAGAAAUUUUUGGAUUACCUCCACGCUGGAGAAAAUGAUAAACACAGAGUAUUAUUUUAAUAUUUUGUAUCAACUAAAUAUAAAAGUUUGUGAAAAAGGGCCUACUUUACAAAAGAAAAAAAAGAGAAUAUCCAAUCGACUUAAAACAUCCAUCCUAUUCACUAUACUAUGGCUUCAUCUGAUUCAUGGCUGUUCUAACAUCUAAAAAAAUGUGAGUGAUAAAUGAUUUCCAUCGUAGUAAAAGGAAAUAGCAGCUGUAGAAGCCUAUGUCUACCAGAGUAUUACUUCAGGGAUGGAAUCCAUGAGUUGAAACAUGACUAGAUUAAAUACUAACAGUACAAAAUUCAGUGUUAGUAAAUUGAGUAAUAAAAUUUCUUUCAAAUAAUAAAAUAAUCUUUUUAUUAUCAAACAUAACUUAAUGAACAACAAGGUGGCUUAACCUCUAGCAAAUUUGCCUAGAUAUUGAAUAUAUUUUUUAACUUCCACUGCAAUUCACUGAGGGAGAAACUACAAAUUGUAUUGUAUAGUAAUAGAAAUAAUAGUGAGCCAAUAGGAUUAGCAGGUUUAUGGUCCCUCAAAUAGGGUUUUUUUGCUGUCAAGUUCAAUAACCUUCAUCCAUCCUGUUCAUCAUUAGGAGAUUCUGUAACAUAUAGUUGAAGUUAAAACAAAUGUAUAAACCAAGUAAAUAAUGUAAUUUUAUUAAUGUAAACCAUUUUUAAUCACACAACGGGUAUAUUCAAAAUGUUUGAAGAAAAAUGUAAAAAAAUCUUAAAAACCACGUCCUUUAUCUACCUACUCUACUCUAUACUGUGCAAUCCAAAAAAUGCACAAUCAUUUGCCAAUUAAAAUCAAAUUUAUAAAAUCUUUUCCAGCAUUUCGCAAGAAUUUGAAAGCAUAUUUACUGGAAAGUGUUUUAUACGCUAUAAACAACUUAUACUUUAAUACUAUAAUAUUUAAUUCGAAGCAUAUUACAUACUGGUUUAAUGUGGGUAUUGAUUUUUUUAUACAAAUUAUUACAUAUUUUAGGAUUGCUAUAUAGUUUUAUUAUUUGGUAAAAAAUUUUAAUGGGACUUCAGGAAGGGUUUACGAAUCAUUGCUGUUUUUUCUAUGGGGCAGUAGAUCAACACUAUUUUUAGUAGUUUCAACCGGGAUCUCAAAAUGUUAAGUUUAUACCCCUUGUAGAUCCCAAAAAUGACCUUCUGCCCUCCCUUCACAUUAAACUUGGAUUGAUGAAAAACUUUGUAAAGGCUAUGGAUAAAGAGGGCGAUGGAUUCAAAUACCUUAGAGAAGUCUUUCCCCAGUUAAAUGAUGCCAAAUUAAAGGAAGGUAUUUAUCGGGCUACAUAUAGGAAAAUUGCUGGACGAUGACAAUUUUGCAAAAAAGCUCAUCAGACGGUAGCUUAGAACAUGGAAGGCAUUUGUAAGUGUAGUGAGGGGAUUUUUGGGCAACAAUAUGGAUCCAAACUACCAACAUUUUGUUGAUGAACUUCUAGACUUCUACAUUCCAUCCUCCUGCUUCAUUUCCAUCUGACAUUUUUUUCCGAAAAUUUGGGAGCUGUCAAUGAUGAGCAGAGUGAAAGGUUCCACCAAGAUUUAGAACAAUGGAAGUUCAGUUACAAUUAUUUUUCUCAUAUUUUCGUAUUUGUAUAGGCCCAUUUUAUCACAAUAUGCUAGUCAUUCUUGUGUUACUACAAACAAUUUUCUUUGUCGACCAGUGUUAGUACAUAAUCACGGUAAAAAUUAAAAACAUAGUAAACUAAAUUAAAAUGAAAUAUUAUGAUAAGUUAAAUUUGAAUCUUAGUUAUAAUAAAACAAAAUAACUAUCGUAUUUACUUUGUAUCAUAUGUUCAGUCUUUAUUUUAUACCUAUAAUGUCAUAUAUCAUAUUGCGACCUCACUAAAAUGUUUGAACUACCUUUUUUUAAUUUUCAUUAAUGUUUUUUUAUAAAUAUUGAUCAAAGAUUAAAGAACAAAAUUAUAAUAAAAGUAUAUAAACUAUCCAAAA